RNAcentral lists this transfer RNA (65 nucleotides) under Cambarus robustus. RNAcentral describes it as "tRNA-Asn". Lineage: Eukaryota; Metazoa; Arthropoda; Malacostraca; Decapoda; Cambaridae. The record is from RNAcentral.
UUAAUAGAAACCAAAUAGAGGUAUUCCACUGUUAAUGGAAAAAUUGAAUUAUCUUUCCUAUUAAG